This 328-nucleotide ribosomal RNA is filed under the name uncultured bacterium. Its description in RNAcentral is "bacterial SSU rRNA". It matches the Rfam family "Bacterial small subunit ribosomal RNA", at positions 163 to 505 of the family's 1533-position model. The record is from RNAcentral.
CUAAUACCGGAUAACACUCUGUCCUGCAUGGGACGGGGUUAAAAGCUCCGGCGGUGAAGGAUGAGCCCGCGGCCUAUCAGCUUGUUGGUGGGGUAAUGGCCUACCAAGGCGACGACGGGUAGCCGGCCUGAGAGGGCGACCGGCCACACUGGGACUGAGACACGGCCCAGACUCCUACGGGAGGCAGCAGUGGGGAAUAUUGCACAAUGGGCGAAAGCCUGAUGCAGCGACGCCGCGUGAGGGAUGACGGCCUUCGGGUUGUAAACCUCUUUCAGCAGGGAAGAAGCGAAAGUGACGGUACCUGCAGAAGAAGCGCCGGCUAACUACG